UACGUAGGUGGCAAGCGUUGUCCGGAUUUAUUGGGUUUAAAGGGUGCGUAGGCGGUCUAUUAAGUCAGCGGUGAAAUACUCCAGCUUAACUGGAGGGGUGCCAUUGAUACUGAUGGACUUGAGUCAAGUCGAGGUAGGCGGAAUUGACGGUGUAGCGGUGAAAUGCUUAGAUAUCUGGAGGAACACCGGUGGCGAAGGCGGCAUCCUGGACCGGCAUUGACGCUGAGGCGCGAAAGCCAGGGGAGCAAACGGG
This 253-nucleotide ribosomal RNA is filed under the name uncultured bacterium. RNAcentral describes it as "partial 16S ribosomal RNA". It matches the Rfam family "Bacterial small subunit ribosomal RNA", at positions 524 to 776 of the family's 1533-position model. The record is from RNAcentral.